RNAcentral lists this small RNA (124 nucleotides) under Marmota monax (woodchuck). Lineage: Eukaryota; Metazoa; Chordata; Mammalia; Rodentia; Sciuridae. The record is from RNAcentral.
ACCGGGUGCGGUGGCGUCCGCCUGUAAUCCCAGUGGCUAGGAGGCUGAGGCAGGAGGAUCUCGAGUUUAAAGCCAGCCUCAGCAAAAGCCAGGCACUAAGCAACUCAGUGAGACCCUGUCUCUA